This 365-nucleotide ribosomal RNA is filed under the name Salmonella enterica subsp. enterica serovar Heidelberg. Its description in RNAcentral is "partial 23S ribosomal RNA". It matches the Rfam family "Bacterial large subunit ribosomal RNA", at positions 1292 to 1657 of the family's 2925-position model. Lineage: Bacteria; Pseudomonadati; Pseudomonadota; Gammaproteobacteria; Enterobacterales; Enterobacteriaceae. The record is from RNAcentral. RNAcentral also lists the same sequence under 1 other name.
GAAUGCUGACAUAAGUAACGAUAAAGCGGGUGAAAAGCCCGCUCGCCGGAAGACCAAGGGUUCCUGUCCAACGUUAAUCGGGGCAGGGUGAGUCGACCCCUAAGGCGAGGCCGAAAGGCGUAGUCGAUGGGAAACGGGUUAAUAUUCCCGUACUUGGUGUUACUGCGAAGGGGGGACGGAGAAGGCUAUGUUGGCCGGGCGACGGUUGUCCCGGUUUAAGCGUGUAGGUGUGUGUUCCAGGUAAAUCCGGUUCACUUUAACACUGAGGCGUGACGACGAGGCACUACGGUGCUGAAGCAACAAAUGCCCUGCUUCCAGGAAAAGCCUCUAAGCAUCAGGUAACAUCAAAUCGUACCCCAAACCGA